AUACUCUAAGGGAAAAGCUACGAUGAUCCGUGUGCUUGCGGUUCACAACUUGGCAUGCUAACUGCUGUCAAUAAUCUUUUCUGGCACCAUUCCUGGGGAUCGACAACUCGAACACUAGGGCGAUCUGUCUAAUUUUUCAGAGUAACCCUAAUUUUUCUAUUGCAUAUAUCCUGUUUUUCUUGUUUGCGUCCUUGAAAGCAGGUAAAUACUAGAUGCCAGAUGAUCGAACAUGGACU
RNAcentral lists this long non-coding RNA (236 nucleotides) under Setaria viridis. RNAcentral's name for it is "long non-coding RNA (SVIR_LNC000592)". Lineage: Eukaryota; Viridiplantae; Streptophyta; Magnoliopsida; Poales; Poaceae. The record is from RNAcentral.